AUUGAACGCUGGCGGAAUGCUUUACACAUGCAAGUCGAACGGCAGCACGGACUUCGGUCUGGUGGCGAGUGGCGAACGGGUGAGUAAUGUAUCGGAACGUGCCCAGUCGUGGGGGAUAACGUAGUGAAAAUUACGCUAAUACCGCAUACGAUCUAUGGAUGAAAGCGGGGGAUCGCAAGACCUAGCGCGAUUGGAGCGGCCGAUAUCAGAUUAGGUAGGUGGGGGGGUAAAGGCCCACCAAGCCAACGAACUGUAGCUGGUCUGAGAGGACGACCAGCCAGACUGGAACGGAGGCACGGUCCAGACUCCUACGGGAGGCAGCAGUGGGGAAUUUUGGACAAUGGGCGAAAGCCUGAUCCAGCCAUUCCGCGUGCAGGAUGAAGGCCCUCGGGUUGUAAACUGCUUUUGUACAGAACGAAAAGGUUUCUACUAAUACUAGGAGCUCAUGACGGUACUGUAAGAAUAAGCACCGGCUAACUACGUGCCAGCCGCCGCAGUAA
This 500-nucleotide ribosomal RNA is filed under the name uncultured bacterium. Its description in RNAcentral is "partial 16S ribosomal RNA". It matches the Rfam family "Bacterial small subunit ribosomal RNA", at positions 30 to 523 of the family's 1533-position model. The record is from RNAcentral.